AUCAGAUGUGAUAUCCAUUCCUCCUCUUUACUCCGCCUUACAGCAGGUCAAACACCAAUCUUCUUCUCCCUCUCGAUGUGCUAUCCAUUCCUUCCUCUCUCCUCCGCCUUUCGCGUUGACUACUCUUAUAACUUGACCCAGGACGAGCUCUGCACCAAGAUCUCACUCUGUGACGCCUUAAUCGUCAGUUGGCUGCCUUAAGGUAAUAGAGCCAAUAAUACUUAUAUUAGAAAACAACAGCAGAGAAAAAAGACCAGAACAUAUAUAGACCAGAAGGAUCAAUCCUCACCGGCUUCAAUGCAUUCUGGUAUUCGCACCACCUUCUUGCCAUUGUCUACAUAUUGCUUGUCGUUCACGGCACCUUUCUCUACCUCGCCCACAAAUGAUACCUCAAGACAGCGUGGAUGUAUCUAGCUGUUCCUGUUUUGCAUUAUGCGGGAGAGAGGACCCUGCGAUUCUUCCGCUCUGGCUUUUACUCUGUUCGUCUACCGAAGGUUACUAUUUAUCCAGGUAAUGUUCUCGCUUUGCAAAUGUCCAAGCCUGCCCAAUUCCAGUAUAAAAGUGGCCAGUACGUGUUCGUCCAAUGCCCGGCUGUGUCUCCAUUUGAGUGGCACCCGUUUUCAAUUACAUCAGCUCCUGAUGAUGAUUACUUGAGCAUCCACAUCCGACAGUUAGGUAACUGGACAAAAGAGAUCAAGAGGGUAUUUUCAGAAGUUUGUGAGCCACCUGUUGCUGGGAGAAGUGGUCUUCUUAACAACUAAGAAAAAGUAUGUAACAUAUUCUAACCUGCAUUGAAUUCAAUAUCUUCUGUGACAUUAUGAUCUUUGUGACAAGUUAGGGAUGAUUGACAUCUAUGCCCCAACUUCAGGGGAAGUGAUGUAAUGCGUACUAUAUGUCGUAAGGGCAUUUAUAUCUUUUUCCCCUCUUUUAUUUUGUACGGUUACCCUAAUCUAUAUAGACAAAAUCUAGUGCCUCCAGCCAGAACUUUUGGUUCUCUCAACUCUUUCUUCGUUUUUUUUCCUCCUCUCUUCUCCCUCUUCUCUCUUCUUAUUUUCUUCUAACUGAAAACAGUGAAUCUUGUUUACCCUAGUUCACUAGCUGUCUCAGACUGGGUUUUGGUGUGGCCUGAAUUCACACAAGUCCAAAAUAGAAAAUGAUGGGGACAGGCUCAGGGAAGUGUUGGGGUUAUAGUUUUGUAUUUUGGAUUUGUUCUGUUUUUUCCCCCUAUCUUGUGAUGUUUCUAGGUGUUGCCUUAACACCUGACCAGUUUGUAAUAAUUUUUUUUUUUUUCUUUUCAUGAAAUCUUUUCUUUUAUUAUAAAAAAAGUCUUUGUUACACUUACUAAUCUCAUGUAUUGCUCUUAGUAUUUGGGAAAGGCUCUUUUCUCUUUUCGGGUGCAAGUGUAAUACUCCUACUUGUGUGGAUGGCCAAAAAGAAGGGGAAGAAUUAUGUGGUGAUGUGCAAGGGAAGCAGUGUUGCGGACUUAUGUGGAGAUGUUUCACUUGUAGGACAGCUUCCUGGCUAAAAUCUCUGGAGCUGUUUUUACCAUUCUCUGUGUUUUACAUAAGAAAUUGGGCUGCGGUAGUAGGUCAUCUUCAAAAUAGAGGAGGGAGAUAUGUGCAUGGACAGGACUGAGCAGGGGCUUCCUAAAAUUGAGCUGUGAUGACAGCAGUGUUGAAAAUACAAGGCCUUCCAAAAUAGGGGUGUUUUCAGAAAUGAGGGAAAUGUAGUUGCAAUGUUUUCAGGUCCAAUUGCUAAUGGGGAUUCAAUAAGAGCUGAAAUUAUGGCGGUUUGGAGUGUAGAAGUCUGUGGAAAUGGAUGUGUCUAAUCAAAUUAUAGAAGGUGAUUCAAAUGUGGUAAUAAGUUGGUUACUGGAUGGGGACAAGUUAUUUGGGCAUACAGAAAUCUGAUGAAGAAGCUCAAGUGGUUGACUAGGAAUCUACAAAUAAAGGUUCAAUGAGUUAAUAGGAAUGGCAAAUGGAAUGGCUGGUAUGCUAGCUAAGCAAGGGGUUAAUAGAAACCAAGUUUUUUGGGCUGAAUUGUAAAAAAUUGUAUUGGGGGAGAUAGCAGUUGCUAUGCUCCAUCGGGUUUAGCUGUUUUGUUUUUUUUUUUUUAAUAUUGAGGGGGAGGGGGGAAUUCUUCAAAAUUGUAUAUUUCUUGUAAAUUUUAAUUAAUGAGGGGGGUGGGCUUCAGUUGGCCCUAAACCCAACCUGGGAUGCUUAAGUUACCAAUCUAGGUUUUGCUGGUGUGGUUGAGAUUUGGGCCAAUAAAUCUCCCAUAUCAAAGCAAAUGGCAGUUCCUUGUAUAAAUUUACUUAAGACUUGGCAUAAACCUUCAAUUUCAUAGCUUGAAUAUUGAGUGCUCACAUUUAAAAACAGUCACCCAGCCAUGAUUGCUCAGUUUAAGAAAGAGGUCUUCAUCCUUGCUACAAGUUAUAGAAAGAAAACUCCCUCCAUCAUCACCCCAAGCUAGCAAGAUCUCAUUAAGAGAAUCAUCCAUGCAAGAUACAUCUAGCAAGAAGCAACCCAUUGAGUAUAGUGUUAUCAUCUUUUUGACAAAGGUCCCCUACAACAAGCAGAUAAAAUUGUUAAUAACUAAAUGUAGGUGAAUUAUUUCUCCUUCCUUUUCAAUUAGUAAAUAAAGGUAAAGAAUCGCCAUAUGUAUGGUUAUCAGGUAGUGGCAAACCACAAAAAUGGCAUGCAUAAUUACAGAUGCCAGAUUCUGUUAAAGAAAAUGAGACAGAUCCUAAUUCUUGAAUGAAGAAAUAGUAGUUCCCAUAAUCCCAUCUACAUAACAUAACACUAGAGAGGAUCUUUUUCUACAGUCUGUGAUAACAACUGCAAAACUAAGGUUCUUAGACUAAGAUCAUGAUUGUAACUUUAUAAAUUUAAUAUAUUUAUCUAUAAAUUAUUUUUAUUGUUUAGUUCAGUUUGCAUCUUUUUUAUAGGUAAUAGAGCCAAUAAUACUUAUAUUAGAAAACAGAAACAAAGAAAAUAGACAAGAACAUAUCUAGACCAGAAGGACCAGUCCUCAAGUAGAAGAAGACUUCAAUGCAUACUAAAAAUAUCUACAUAUUAAAAAUAUGUUUGUGCCCAGAAGAUUACAAAGAACAAUAAACAUAGGAGUGCAGACAGAUAGCAAAGAUGAAGAAAGGAGUUUGCAUUGUCAAUGUUGCUCAGGGUGGUGUGAUUGAUGAAGAAGCCCUUGUGAGAGCACUGGAGGGUGGAAUUGUUGCUCAGGCGGCACUUGAUGUCUUCACAGAAGAACCACCUCCAAAAGACAGCAAGCUGGUGCAAAUUCUUUCUGACAACAGGUUCUAUCGGAGCUUGCACCAUUUGUUGUACUGGCAGAGAAGCUUGGCAGACUAGCUGUAAUCAAAUUCUUUCUGACUACAGGUUCUAUCAUGUCAUCAAAUGCACAUGGUUUGUGUAAAAGUGUUGACGGCUUGGCAUUAUAAAGUUAUAGAUAGGAGGAGCCCCAUUAAGAAUUCAGAGAGACCUCCUAAAAUAUGUGAUCAAUUUUUUAGUCUACACUGCAAAUAGUAUGUGAUAAACAAUUGAUGUUAUUUUUUAGGCAAUUUCUUAUUUUUCCCAAACCAUGUGCUAAUUUCCUGUUCAUCAUCAGUUAAUAUUUUCAUGUACUUUAUUUCUUUGUUUUGAGAUAUUUUGUGAAGUAUAGUUAUGAAACAAA
Non-coding RNA from Nelumbo nucifera (sacred lotus), 3690 nucleotides. Lineage: Eukaryota; Viridiplantae; Streptophyta; Magnoliopsida; Proteales; Nelumbonaceae. The record is from RefSeq and is a predicted model, not a curated record.